UGUAGGCAUAAGGUCUUUUCCUGCUUGCCUUUUUAUUAACAGGGUGGACACUCUCAGACACUGGUGGAAGCCUGACUCCAUGUGCAAGAAGGAACUUACCGUUUAAUCCCAUUAGUAUCUCCACUGAGCCUUUCUCAGCAGCUGCUACCAUAACUUCUGCCGAUAGGGCUGUGACCCCAUGGCUAAUGAAUUUCUGUCUCUUUCCACAUCAUUUCACAGAAGAAGAAGAAAAAAAAGAUGAUUCAUCCUUACUGGACCUGUUUUCCUUGAUGGAAGCAGACAUGACCCACCAGCCGCUAACGUUAGCUGGCUGUUCACACUCAUCAUCUUUAAAGCCUGCCAAGGUGACAAGAGAAAGUGAGAAUGUAAUUCCUGAAAGUAACCCUUAUCCCCAAGUUGUGUCCUGGAUGCUGGGCCGUUUAAUGAGACAUUGCUGCUGAGUCACAAGGAGAAGACAUGCCCCUUGCCCACCCUUCAGCCUUACAGGAGCCGUGACUGGACAUCUGUUCCUGUCACCUUGGGGUUCCUCCCAGCGCUUUCUCCUGCAAACACCUCGAGUGUGACACCUGGCUUCUCUGCACUGGCUCCCAUGGAACAAGUUCACCAACCUUGAUCUACUGAUGUGCCAUCUACCCGGAAGCAUAUUCUUUGGCCAUGAAGUUUGCGGAGGAGCACCUAUAUCUCCUGGACCCAGCAUCUUACUUUUCUUCCCUCUCUCCUCUUUUUGGCUUAAACUCUUCCAUUCCCAGCCCACACUUUCCUCCACAGAUCUAACCUUCCAAUAAAC
Molecule: long non-coding RNA, 787 nt
Filed under: Mus spicilegus (steppe mouse)
Lineage: Eukaryota; Metazoa; Chordata; Mammalia; Rodentia; Muridae
Description: lncRNA (ENSMSIG00000015687.1)
Source: RNAcentral